CCCCAAAUUUGGGUUUGGGGAGUGUCAAAGGUCAAUGGGCAGUGUCCAAAGGGGUCAAAGGUCAAGUGGGCAGUGCCAGGAGGGUGCUGGAAGGGUCAGGGAUGGUCAGUGGUCACUCAGGGCAGUGUCCAGAGGGGUCAGGGGUCAUUGGUCACUGUCAGGGAUGGUCAAUGGUCACUGUCAGGGAUGGUCAAGGAUGGUCAGUGGUCACUCAGGGCAGUGUCUGGAGGGGUCAGGGGUCAUUGGUCACUGUCAGGGAUGGUCAGUGGUCACUCAGGGCAGUGUCCAGAAGGGUCAGGGGUCAUUGGUCACUGUGAGGGAUGGUCAGUGGUCACUCAGGGCCGUGUCCAGAGGGGUCAGGGGUCAAUGGUCACUGUGAGGGAUGGUCAAGGAUGGUCAGAGAUGGUCAGGGUGGGUCAGUGGUCACUCAGGGGUCACUGUCAGUGAUGGUCAGUGAUCAAUGGUCACUCUCAGGGAUGGUCAUUGGUCACUGAGGGAUCACUGUCAGUGAUGGUCAGUGGUCAAUGGUCACUACCAAGGAUGGUCACUGAGGGGUCACUAUCGGGGAUGGUCAGUGAUGGUCAGCAAUGGUCAGGGUGGGUCAAUGGUCACUCAGGGCAGUGUCCAGAGGGGUCAGUGAUCAAUGGUCACUAUCAGGGAUGGUCAGGGAUGGUCAGCGAUGGUCAGUGAUGGUCAGGGAUGGUCAGUGGUCUCUCAGGGGUCACUGUCAGUGAUGGUCAGUGGUCAAUGGUCACUACCAAGGAUGGUCAUUGGUCACUGAGGGGUCACUAUCGGGGAUGGUCAAGGAUGGUCAGUGAUGAUCAGCGAUGAUCAGUGAUGGUCAGUGAUAAUCAGUGAAUGGUCAGUGAUGGUCAGGAUGGGGAUGGUCACUCAGGGGUCACUCAGGGCAGUGUCCGGAGGGG
Molecule: long non-coding RNA, 923 nt
Filed under: Zonotrichia albicollis (white-throated sparrow)
Lineage: Eukaryota; Metazoa; Chordata; Aves; Passeriformes; Passerellidae
Description: lncRNA (ENSZALG00000001789.1)
Source: RNAcentral